GACGAACGCUGGCGGCGUGCUUAACACAUGCGAGUCGAACGGAAAGGCCCUGCUUUUGUGGGGUGCUCGAGUGGCGAACGGGUGAGUAACACGUGAGUAACCUGCCCUUGACUUUGGGAUAACUUCAGGAAACUGGGGCUAAUACCGGCUAGGAGCUCCUGCUGCAUGGUGGGGGUUGGAAAGUUUCGGCGGUUGGGGAUGGACUCGCGGCUUAUCAGCUUGUUGGUGGGGUAGUGGCUUACCAAGGCUUUGACGGGUAGCCGGCCUGAGAGGGUGACCGGCCACAUUGGGACGGAGAUACGGCCCAGACUCCUACGGGAGGCAGCAGUGGGGAAUAGUGCACAAUGGGCGGAAGCCUGAUGCAGCAACGCCGCGUGCGGGAUGACGGCCUGCGGUUUGUAUACCGCUUUCGCCUGUGACGAAGCGUGAGUGACGGUAAUGGGUAAAGAAGCACCGGCUAACUACGUG
This 468-nucleotide ribosomal RNA is filed under the name uncultured bacterium. RNAcentral's name for it is "partial 16S ribosomal RNA". It matches the Rfam family "Bacterial small subunit ribosomal RNA", at positions 28 to 507 of the family's 1533-position model. The record is from RNAcentral.